UUCCGGUUGAUCCUGCCGGACCUGACUGCUAUCGGAUUGAUACUAAGCCAUGCGAGUCAUUGUAGCAAUACAAGGUAUACGGCUCAGUAACGCGUAGUCAACCUAACCUAUGGACGGGAAUAACCUCGGGAAACUGAGAAUAAUGCCCGAUAGAACACUAUACCUGGAAUGGUUUGUGUUCCAAAUGAUUUAUCGCCGUAGGAUGGGACUGCGGCCUAUCAGUUUGUUGGUGAGGUAAUGGCCCACCAAGACUAUUACAGGUACGGGCUCUGAGAGGAGUAGCCCGGAGAUGGGUACUGAGACACGGACCCAGGCCCUAUGGGGCGCAGCAGGCGAGAAAACUUUGCAAUGUGCGAAAGCACGACAAGGUUAAUCCGAGUGAUUUGUGCUAAACGAAUCUUUUGUUAGUUCUAGAAAUACUAACGAAUAAGGGGUGGGCAAGUUCUGGUGUCAGCCGCCGCGGUAAAACCAGCACCUCAAGUGGUCAGGAUGAUUAUUGGGCCUAAAGCAUCCGUAGCCGGCUCUGUAAGUUUUCGGUUAAAUCUGUACGCUUAACGUACAGGCUGCCGGGGAUACUGCAGAGCUAGGGAGUGGGAGAGGUAGACGGUACUCGGUAGGAAGGGGUAAAAUCCUUUGAUCUAUUGAUGA
This 648-nucleotide ribosomal RNA is filed under the name uncultured archaeon. Its description in RNAcentral is "bacterial SSU rRNA". It matches the Rfam family "Archaeal small subunit ribosomal RNA", at positions 1 to 656 of the family's 1478-position model. The record is from RNAcentral.